UGGGGAAUCUUGCGCAAUGCGCGAAAGCGUGACGCAGCAACGCCGCGUGGGGGAAGAAGGCUCUCGGGUUGUAAACCCCUUUCAGGAGGGACGAAGGUCGGGCGGUUAAUAGCCGACCCGACUGACGGUACCUCCACAAGAAGCCCCGGCUAACUACGUGCCAGCAGCCGCGGUAAUACGUAGGGGGCAAGCGUUGUCCGGAAUUAUUGGGCGUAAAGAGCGUGUAGGCGGUCCGGUCAGUCGGCUGUGAAAGUCCAGGGCUCAACCCUGGGAUGCCGGUCGAUACUGCCGGACUAGAGUUCGGAAGAGGCGAGUGGAAUUCCCGGUGUAGCGGUGAAAUGCGCAGAUAUCGGGAGGAACACCUAUGGCGAAGGCAGCUCGCUGGGACGUUACUGACGCUGAGACGCGAAAGCGUGGGGAGCAAACAG
This 428-nucleotide ribosomal RNA is filed under the name uncultured bacterium. RNAcentral's name for it is "bacterial SSU rRNA". It matches the Rfam family "Bacterial small subunit ribosomal RNA", at positions 355 to 775 of the family's 1533-position model. The record is from RNAcentral.